RNAcentral lists this ribosomal RNA (583 nucleotides) under uncultured bacterium. Its description in RNAcentral is "bacterial SSU rRNA". It matches the Rfam family "Bacterial small subunit ribosomal RNA", at positions 298 to 874 of the family's 1533-position model. The record is from RNAcentral.
GGACGACCAGCCACACUGGAACUGAGACACGGUCCAGACUCCUACGGGAGGCAGCAGUGGGGAAUUUUGGACAAUGGGCGAAAGCCUGAUCCAGCCAUUCCGCGUGCAGGAUGAAGGCCCUCGGGUUGUAAACUGCUUUUGUACAGAACGAAAAGGUUUCUACUAAUACUAGGAGCUCAUGACGGUACUGUAAGAAUAAGCACCGGCUAACUACGUGCCAGCAGCCGCGGUAAUACGUAGGGUGCAAGCGUUAAUCGGAAUUACUGGGCGUAAAGCGUGCGCAGGCGGUUAUAUAAGUCAGAUGUGAAAUCCCCGGGCUCAACCUGGGAACUGCAUUUGAGACUGUAUAGCUAGAGUACGGCAGAGGGGGAUGGAAUUCCGCGUGUAGCAGUGAAAUGCGUAGAUAUGCGGAGGAACACCGAUGGCGAAGGCAAUCCCCUGGGCCUGUACUGACGCUCAUGCACGAAAGCGUGGGGAGCAAACAGGAUUAGAUACCCUGGUAGUCCACGCCCUAAACGAUGUCAACUGGUUGUUGGGUCUUAACUGACUCAGUAACGAAGCUAACGCGUGAAGUUGACCGCCU